GGAUAACUGUGAUAAUUCUAGAGCUAAUACACGCAAUAAAGCUCGGACCUUUCGGGACGAGCGCAUUUAUUAGACCAAAACCAAUCGGGCUUCGGCCUGAACUGUGGUGACUCUGAAUAACUAAGCUGAUCGCAUGGUCUUUGUACCGGCGACGCAUCUUUCAAGUGUCUGCCUUAUCAACUUUCGAUGGUAGUUUAUGCGCCUACCAUGGUUGUAACGGGUAACGGAGAAUAAGGGUUCGACUCCGGAGAGGGAGCCUGAGAAACGGCUACCACAUCCAAGGAAGGCAGCAGGCGCGCGGAUUACCCACUAACGGCACGAGGAGGUAGUGACGAAAAAUAANGACCCUAAAAGGGGUGGGGCCCGCANNNG
Molecule: ribosomal RNA, 372 nt
Filed under: Tardigrada environmental sample
Lineage: Eukaryota; Metazoa; Tardigrada
Description: bacterial SSU rRNA
Rfam family: Eukaryotic small subunit ribosomal RNA
Source: RNAcentral